Molecule: long non-coding RNA, 2754 nt
Filed under: Homo sapiens (human)
Lineage: Eukaryota; Metazoa; Chordata; Mammalia; Primates; Hominidae
Description: HSALNT0367064
Source: RNAcentral
GUGAAAGAAGGAUCCCUGCAAGCAGGAAGUCAGGACGGAAAGGGGCAGGUGGGCAGGGAUAGAAAAGUGAGUGCUGAGUAGACGCUUCUCUCCUUACCAGAACCAGUAACCACCCUGCUGGCUGCUCCUCUAAUUUGCCCUGGCACAAGGACAGAAUGUGUUCUGCUGAUACACGUUUCUAAAGCACCAAGCAGCCUCUGCUGACAGCUGGCUUGGUUGCUGUGUCAAUGCAGAAAAAGUGAGAGAGCAAAAGAAUUUGGUUCAGAGUGGAAGUUUAACAGGUGAAAGAAAGAGAAGGGUUCUCUGCACAGAGAGGAGUCCUGGAGAAAUGGGCUGCUGGCCAGGCGUGGUGGCUCACCCCUGUAAUCCCAGCACUUUGGGAAGCUGAGAUGGGUGGAUCACCUGAGGUCAGGAGUUCAAGACCAGCUUGGUCAACAUGGUGAAACCCCGUCUCCACUAAAAAUACAAAAAUUAGUUGGGUAUAAUGGUACAUACCUGCAAUCCCAGCUACGCAGGAGGCCGGGGCAGGAGAAUCACUUGAACCUGGAAGGUGGAGGUAGCAGUGAGUUGAGAUGAUGCCACUGUGCUCCAGCCUGGGUGACAGUGCAUGACUCAUCUCAAAAAAUAAAUAAACAAAUAAAUAAAAGGAAAAGAGAAAAUGGGUUGCUGCUUCCACAGUGAAGUGCACGAGGUUUUAUAGAUGAGCUUGAGGAGGUGGUGUUUUACAUAGGGUACGAAAGAUUGGUUGGAUCAGGUAUGCCAUUGGCAUAGUGCAUGAAGAAGCUGGCCACCCCACCCUAAUCUUUUAAGAAUAAUAUUUUUAAAAUUAUAUAUUGUCUUAGUCCAUUUGUGCCGCCAUGACAAAAUACCACAGACUGGGUAAUUUAUACAUAACAGAAUCUUAUUUUUUACAGUUCUGGAGGCUGGGAAGUUCAAGAUCAAGGCGCCAGCAUUGGUGUCCGGUGGGGGCAUUCUUGCUGUGUCCUCACAAGGUAGAAAAAUGGAAGGACAAACACUGUGCCCUCACAUAGCAGAAGAGCAGAAGAGCAAAAACGGCCUAAGCUAGUCCCCUCCAGGUUUUUUAUAAGGCACUCGUCCAUUAAUCACUUCCCAAAAGGCCCCACCUUUCAAUAAGGAUUGAGUUUCAACACUUGAAUUUGGGGACCAUUCAAACCACAGCAUCUAUAUACAUCUGUAAAAUAACUUACACUUGCAGCACUAUAUGCCUAGCAAUAUACUGACACAUUAAUACUUGGAGAUUAAAGUGACUUUUGUGGUCACCUAGCUAAUUGGUGAUAGAGCUUGAAAUGAAAACUCCAGCAUCUAACUCCAAAAUAUGUGUUCUUAACUAUUAACUUGUUUACUCCUUGUUCAAUUAUUAUUCCCAUUCACAGAAGUAGACAUUAUUAACACUCCCAUUCUACUGAACAGGAAAGAGAGGAAUACAAAGUUCAAUAACUUGGUCACAGCCCUAAAAUAGAAAAGCAUGAAUUUGACCCAGUAAGCCAAACUUGGAGCCUGUGCAUGUUAUGUUAACCAUGACAUUAUGCUGCCUCUCUGAAGACAUCUUAUCAAUAAGGCUUAGUAAUUCACUUCUUUAGAUAAUGAAACAAAUGAGGUGUAAAACGAACCUGAGGUUUUAAAGUUAAGACAGCUAGACUGUAGUAAAAAUCUAGCUUAGCUCCCUAUUACCUGCUCUAACUUGAGCUAAGCUCAAGCUCCUUAUUUAUGAAAUGGCUCAAUAAUCCUUUCUUCAUGAUAUGGUAUUGAGGCUUGGAGGAGAAAACAUCCAUAAAUGGUUUAAUGUGGGCCUUGUACAUACUAUGUAGUUGAAGACAACAAUCACACCUGUUCACCUUGUAUGUCCAGCAUCACACCAGACUCAUAGGAGACAAUGUAAAUUUUGCUUAAUGUAUGUAUUAAUCAAUUAAAUAACUGAUUGACAGACUGAUUGAUUAAUAGAGUUCUGAAUCACCCAUCUGAUUCCAACAACCCACCUCUCUUUUCUGGCUCAUUUCUAGUCUAUCAUUUUAAACUUGAAUCAAUUUUCUGUAUAUCCUAUAUCCAUUAGUAGAUUUAAAAAGAGAUGAUAGCAAUUUUAGAAAACAUAAGGAUAAGGCAAGUCUAAUACAUAAAGAAUUUCAUCCAUUUAAUCAUACCAUCAUCCUUUUAGACUGUUCAUUGCACAGAAAAAUUACAGUUUCAGAAACCUCACUCUUUCUCCCUCCCAAAUAAGAUCUAAAAUGUUUUAUUGUAUCUGACUCCCUUCCUUCCUCUAAAAACCAUGCUUCGGUUUUUUAAUGAAAAAAAAAAUAGACAAAAGAAAAAGAAGAAUAUAAUUCUGAGUUAUUGAAUUUCUGAUUCAUUUUUGUUCACUAACUUUUUUUUUUUUUUUUUUGAGACAUGGCCUCACUCUGUUGCCCAGGCUGGAGUGCAAUGGCGUGAUCUCAACUCACUGCAGCCUCAAUCUCCCAGGCUCAUGGUUCUGCCCACCUCAGGAUCCCCAAGUAGCUGGAGCUACAGGCAUGCACCAUCGCAUUUGGCUAAUUUUUGCUUUUUUUUUUUUUUUGCCUUUUUUUUGUAAAGACACGGUUUUGCCAUGUUGCCCAGGCUGCACUAACAAUUUGAACUGGGUCUUCAGUCACCAGGUAGGCCUGUAAGUAAAUCUAGAGUCUUGAAUAUUGGUGGCAUUCCAAAAAAUUAGCACAAAUUGAAUGAAAAAUUUGUAAACUUUCCUUCAGUUGGCCAAAAAAC